Molecule: long non-coding RNA, 1289 nt
Organism: Ahaetulla prasina
Lineage: Eukaryota; Metazoa; Chordata; Lepidosauria; Squamata; Colubridae
Exons: 5
Source: RefSeq, a predicted model, not a curated record
GGUUUUUUGUCUUGGACAAAGUAAUGAGUUGGCGCGAGCUAAUGAAUUAGCGCGAGCUAACUAUUUCAAUGGAGGGAAGAAUAUAUUCUGAAAAGGAGAGUGUGAGUGUUUAUGGAUUUACUCCUAUGGCCACUGUAAUCUUCCUGUGAUUUUGGUGUCAUAAUAACCCUGGAAAUUAAGCUACAGGGGAGUAAUUUGGCAAAGAGAGAACACAAUCAGCCAUGGUUUGCUUAAUCAGUGUUUUUGGAAGAAGGCCCCUGAAGCAUAACCAAACCAUAAUCAAACAAAGCACCAUAUAACUUCAUAUGGAGAUAUGCAAGCCUGUUACAGCAGUGUAAAUAUUUGAACAUCUUAUGGGGAACAAUGGAUAUUCGCCUAUAUUGAUCUUUUUUGCUAUACUGCCUAAAUGGCAAAAGACAACGUAUGAAGCCAGAUAUACACAGGAUGAAAACAAGAAUGACUUCCAACAAUGUAAAAUUCUUGAGAAUGGUGUUGAUGUAUAUUUAUAUACACUGUUAAACUUGAAAGAAGGUCUACACGGCAGCCCACUUCCUGAACUAAGAAGACAUCCGCAUCGAGGCAAAAUGAAAUGGGAUCACAGACAGCUGUUAACAGCCCAGCUUUCCUUGAAGAAUGGCAUCUCCCACCGGCAAGGCUUGCUAAAAUGUACCCGAACAGUUCUCCAAUAUGCUGGAAGUGCAAAAAAAUAGUAUAUGGAACGUAUUACCAUUUAUGGUGGACAUGUCAAUCUACAAAAAUUAUUGGGACAAAAUCAAAAAAUGGCUGGAAGAAAUAACUGACCAACCCAUAGACUGGAAACCAGACACCUUUUUGCUGGGAAUACUCAAUAGGAAAUAUAGUAAAAAAUAAGAUAUCUAAUUCUACACAUAAUAACAGCUGCAAGAAUAUCUUAUGCACAGAACUGGAAAAAUGAGAACAUUCCAUCGGAGAAGGAAGUGAUAAGGAAAAUUCUGGACUGUGCUGAGAAGAAUAAAUUAACAAAGGAGAUAAAAGAUAAAAGAAAAAGAAGAUACAGAAUAUUAUAUAAUAUGGAAUAAAUUGUAUAAUUGGAUAGAAAUUAAAAAUUGUAAAUGACGAAAAAGGGGGAAAGGUCACACACACACACAAAAGGUAGUGCAUGAAAGAAAAUGUAUUGUUAUAAUGACCGGUAUGAAUGAAUAUAUAUAUAUAAAUAAGGGAUAAUGGGACAAAAAGAAAAUGAAAUUAAAGAAAAUGAAAGGGGAAAUGUAAAUAAUAGAGGAUUACCGAUACGAAGCUGAUAUAAAAAA